AGGGUGCAGGGCGGAUGCCUUGGCACUAGGAGCCGAUGAAGGACGUGAUAAGCUGCGAUAAGCUUCGGGGAGUUGCACGUAAACUUUGAUCCGAAGAUUUCCGAAUGAGGAAACUCACUUAGAGUAAUGUCUAAGUAUCAUUAAGUGAAUACAUAGCUUAAUGAGGGGAACUCAGGGAACUGAAACAUCUAAGUACCUGAAGGAAGAGAAAGAAAUUCGAUUCCGUAAGUAGCGGCGAGCGAACGCGGAUUAGCCCAAACCAAUAAAGUUUUCUUUAUUGGGGUUGCGGACAUAUCAUAACGAAGAGGUAUCGUAAUUGAAGAGGUUUGGAAAGACCCACCACAGAAGGUAAUAGUCCUGUAUGUUAAACGAGAAGACUUCAGAUAUGAUCCAGAGUACCACGGGACACGUGAAACCCUGUGGGAAGCAGGAGGGACCACCCUCCAAGGCUAAAUACUACCUAGUGACCGAUAGCGUAUAGUACCGUGAGGGAAAGGUGAAAAGAACCCCGGGAGGGGAGUGAAAUAGAACCUGAAACCCUGCACUUACAAGCUGUGGAAGCACAUUUCUUGUGUGACCGCGUACUUUUUGUAGAACGGGCCAACGAGUUACGUUAAGUAGCAAGGUUAAGCACUUAAGGUGCGGAGCCGUAGCGAAAGCGAGUUUUAACUGAGCGUUCAGUUACUUGACGUAGACCCGAAACCGGGCGACCUACCCAUGAGCAGGAUGAAGCGAAAGUAAAAUUUCGUGGAGGUCCGAACCCACGAGCGUUGAAAAGCUCGGGGAUGACUUGUGGGUAGCGGUGAAAUUCCAAUCGAGCCCGGAGAUAGCUGGUUCUCCCCGAAAUAGCUUUAGGGCUAGCCUCAAGGUGAGAGAUACGGAGGUAGAGCACUGAAUGUCCUAGGGGGUAUUGCACCUACCGAAGACUAUCAAACUCCGAAUGCCGUCAUCUUAUACUUGGGAGUCAGACUGUGGGUGAUAAGAUUCAUAGUCGAAAGGGCAACAGCCCAGAUCGUCAGCUAAGGUCCCUAAAUGUAAGUUAAGUGGUAAAGGAUGUGGGAUUGCACAGACAACCAGGAUGUUGGCUUAGAAGCAGCCACUCAUUCAAAGAGUGCGUAAUAGCUCACUGGUCGAGUGAUCCUGCGCCGAAGAUUUCCGGGGCUAAAACUUACUACCGAAGCUACGGCAUCAGUAAUGAUGGGUAGGGGAGCUUCCCAUACGGGUUGAAGCAUGACCGUAAGGACAUGUGGACAGUAUGGGAGUGAGAAUGUUGGCAUGAGUAGCGAGAUGUGGGUGAGAAUCCCACAGGCCGUAAACCCAAGGUUUCCAGGGGAAGGUUCGUCCGCCCUGGGUUAGUCGGGACCUAAGCUGAGGCCGAAAGGCGUAGGUGAUGGACAACAGGUUGAUAUUCCUGUACUACCGAUAACCGUUUGAGAGAAGGGAUGACACAGUAGGAUAAGCUAAGCACACUGUUGGUUAUGUGUGCCCAAGCAUUGAGGCAGUCAAAGUAGGCAAAUCCGCUUUGAUAAUGCUGGGAUGUGAUGGGGAGCGAAAUUUAGUAGCGAAGUAGCUGAUUUCACACUGUCAAGAAAAGUCUCUAUCGAGGUUAAAGGUACCCGUACCGCAAACCGACACAGGUGGGUGAGGAGAGUAUCCUAAGGCCAGCGAGAGAACUGUUGUUAAGGAACUCGGCAAAAUGACCCCGUAACUUAGGGAUAAGGGGUGCCACCAUCAGGUGGCCGCAGAGAAUAGGCCCAAGCGACUGUUUACCAAAAACAUAGGUUUCUGCUAAGUCGCAAGACGAUGUAUAGGAGCUGACGCCUGCCCGGUGCUGGAAGGUUAAGGGGAUCUGUUAGAGCAAUCGAAGCAGUGAACUUAAGCCCCAGUAAACGGCGGCCGUAACUAUAACGGUCCUAAGGUAGCGAAAUUCCUUGUCGGGUAAGUUCCGACCCGCACGAAAGGCGUAACGAUUUGGGCACUGUCUCAACAACAGACUCGGUGAAAUUGUAAUUCCGGUGAAGAUGCCGGAUACCUGCGACAGGACGGAAAGACCCCAUGGAGCUUUACUGUAGCUUGACAUUGGGUUUUGGUACUACAUGUACAGGAUAGGUGGGAGGCUUUGAAACCAGGACGCCAGUUUUGGCGGAGCCAUCCUUGGGAUACCACCCUUGUAGUACUGGGACUCUAACCAUAGGCCAUGAAUCUGGUCUUGGGACACUGUCAGGCGGGCAGUUUGACUGGGGCGGUCGCCUCCCAAAAGGUAACGGAGGCGCUCAAAGGUUCUCUCAGUACGGUCGGAAAUCGUACGUAGAGUGUAAAGGCAAAAGAGAGCUUGAUUGCAAGACAUACAGGUCGAGCAAGGAUGAAAAUCGGACUUAGUGAUCCGGUGGUUCUGCGUGGAAGGGCCAUCGCUCAACGGAUAAAAGCUACCCUGGGGAUAACAGGCUUAUCUCCCCCAAGAGUCCACAUCGACGGGGAGGUUUGGCACCUCGAUGUCGGCUCAUCACAUCCUGGGGCUGUAGUAGGUCCCAAGGGUUGGGCUGUUCGCCCAUUAAAGUGGUACGCGAGCUGGGUUCAGAACGUCGUGAGACAGUUCGGUCCCUAUCCGUCGCAGGCGUAGGAAAUUUGAGAAGACCUGUCCUUAGUACGAGAGGACCGGGAUGGACGUACCUCUGGUGUACCAGUUGUUCUGCCAAGGGCAUGGCUGGGUAGCUAUGUACGGAAUGGAUAAGCGCUGAAAGCAU
Molecule: ribosomal RNA, 2744 nt
Filed under: Clostridioides difficile
Lineage: Bacteria; Bacillati; Bacillota; Clostridia; Peptostreptococcales; Peptostreptococcaceae
Description: bacterial LSU rRNA
Rfam family: Bacterial large subunit ribosomal RNA
Source: RNAcentral